This 869-nucleotide ribosomal RNA is filed under the name Viannaia viannai. Its description in RNAcentral is "partial 16S ribosomal RNA". Lineage: Eukaryota; Metazoa; Nematoda; Chromadorea; Rhabditida; Metastrongylidae. The record is from RNAcentral.
AUUAGCUUUAUUACGUUAUUAGUUGAUAUUGCAUAUCAUUUAAGAAAAAUUUUAUAGAUAAUAAAAAAUAAAAAUAAAGAGUAGAAUUUUUUUUUCUUUUAUUGUUUCAUAAUAAAAAUUAAGAAAAUUAGAGUUGAAAAGUCGUUCUUUAUUAUAUUUGUUUUGUUUAAAAUAUUAGAAAAUUAUAUUUUAUUAAUUUUUUAUUGUAAUAAAAAAAUUUGAAGUGUUUAUUUUUUAAGUUUUAUAACUUUUUAUAAGUUUAGAAGUUUGAUAGUAAAUUAUGUAUUUAUUAAUAUUUUAAUAAAUAUUUUAUCUUGGAAUUAGUAAAAUUAUUUUAAGGUAUAAAUUAAUGUUAAUAUAAUAAAAAAAUUCAGUAUUCAAUCAAAUGUUUUUUAAAGACUUAGACUUUUUUAUAAAGUUUGCUUCUGCCCAGUGAUGUUUUAAAUGGCAGUCUUAGCGUGAGGACAUUAAGGUAGCAAAAUAAUUUGUGCUUUUAUUAAGUUCCAGUAUGAAUGAAGUUAUUGGUUGAUGAUUUUUUUAUUUUGGGUUUGAAUUUGUAUUUGUAUAAAAAAUUAUAAUUGUAAUUAAACAAAGAUAAGUCUUCGGAAAUUCUAUUUAAACUUUGUGGAUUCAUAAAUUUUAAAAUUUUCUAGGGCAGAAUAAUAUAUAUUAAAAUUUUCUAUUGAUAAUUUAAAGAAUUACUCCGGAGUUAACAGAAAAUCAUGCUUAAUCUAGUUCUUAUAGUAUAGUAAGUUUUACAUCGAUGUUGUAUUUGGGUAUAUUAAGAAAGGAGAAAACUUAAUAAUUAAGACUGUUCUUCUUUUAAUUAAUUCAACGUGAUAUUAGUUUAAUUCAUUGUGAGAUAGAAU